UCUUGCAGCUCUCGCCUCCCACCUCCAUAUAAAUACUCCCCACGUCCGGCUCGACCGAUUUUUGGCAAAAUCGUAGGCUCCUGUGCCCUAGGUCGAUUUCGCGAUCUCACCGGAGUUCCACCGCUGUUGACCUCCACCGUCGUCGCUUCCGUCGCCACCGGAUUCACCGAACCGAGCGCUGCAACCUCGACCAGAAGCAGAGCACCGCCGCCGUCGCUCCGGUCGCCCAUCGACGCCACCACAGGGCGUGAUCCUCCCCGACGAGGCCCCCUUUGUCUUCACAGGAGAGUUCCGCGACCGCCCGUCCUUUCCUCCACCACCAGAGCAGGCGCCACCAUCCCCGCCCGAGCCGCCCCGUGCCGUUCUUCUCCAACUCCGACGACGCCCAGCUCUGUUCUCAGAUUGUUCGGAGUGUGAAGCGGAUCAGAAUUAAUCGUUAGAGUACUUCAACACCGUUCAAGGCAAGUUUGCACUUUUGAUUUUUCUCAUCCUAUAUUCUGCUAUGCAUGUGUGGUUUUAUGCUAUGAUAUAUGUUGGCUUGACAUGUGUAUCCCGUGUUGUCAUGUUUUGGUAUGAUUUGUGUUAUGUGAUGGUGUGAUAAACUCACUAUGGUAGACGUGGGCAUGUGUCGAGUGAUCCAUGAAAAUGGUGAGUGUUUAUAGCCGUAGGCUCGGGAUUAUUAACCAGGUGAAUGCGUCACUGGCAGAGCGCUCUAUUGUCCCUAGAGAAUGCGCCAUUGACAGAGCGCACUUGAGGCGAGGUAUAGUUUUCGGAACAUAAAUCAGGUGGAUGCGUCCUUGGCAGAGCGCUCUAUUGUUCCUAGAGAAUGCGCCAUUGACAGAGCGCACUUGAGAGAUACUUCAGAAGUUCUUGUCAUGUUUAUUUAGAAUCUUUGGGUUAUCUUGGGCGAGUAAAUUAGAGACGGUUGUGAGUUCAGGUAGUGGAGGUAGGUGAAGACAUUCUUCUCCGAACUAACUUGUGUGUUUUGUUUGUCAUACAUUGCUUUGUGGAUGUAGGUUUGCCAUAUCAUAUUGUGUGAUUUGCCAAUACAUUCAAUGUAUUGACCCUUUGUGGCUGCAACUUAUCAUGUUGCAGGAUUUUCAGAUAAUCAAUGAGAUACAGUAGGGUCGCGAGUCUUCACUCAACAUCUUCGCCAGUGGGCCUUGUUUGGACUCAUCGUUUGCUUAUGCUACAUUUCCGCUGUUAUUAUUGAGUAAAGCUAGUUAUGUACUAAGAGUUUGUAACACUUUAUAAAUUCUGGAUCAUACGUUAUAGUAAAUGAUGCAUUUGUUAUUUGAUAUUCAUAUGUACUGUGUGUGCUAGCGAAUCGAUCCAGGGACUAGCACAGUGAGCACAGAGACAUCGAAUCUUAUCAGAUUCGGGUCGUUACAGCUCUGCUCUUCUGGAACCCACGUGGUUCUGGUCGAGGCUGUCGAUGUCGGAGUACCCCUCUUAAGAGUGUAAAAGUGUGAAUAUUCACCCCUGUGAGUCCCGGGUAGGGAACCUUGCUGGUCACGUGUGAUACCAAUAUUUUCCCUAUACACCGCUAUAAAUAUUUCCAGUAUUUCAGUUGAACUCUGUUUAAUAUUAUCUUUUAAUUCAGCCUUUUGCACUACUUUAUUUUCCGCCGCUAAAUCUGUCCAUUGAUGUCGUAUCAUUUCCUUGAAACUGAAUUACACCGUUGUGAUAUCCAUAACACUUUCUCCUUUUGUACCCUUGAAUAAAUGCUACUUGCUGGGUAUGAAUCAUCAUACUCACCCUUGCUUAAUUUCUUUCUUUUGCAGCCCAAAGCAGUAAUGAUCCUUAGCAUGGCUUUGAGCAGUAGGCGUAGCACGCGCCGGGAGGGAAUAAAUUAAAGUACUUUAGGGUUUAUUUUCAGCA
Molecule: long non-coding RNA, 1881 nt
Organism: Triticum aestivum (bread wheat)
Lineage: Eukaryota; Viridiplantae; Streptophyta; Magnoliopsida; Poales; Poaceae
Exons: 3
Source: RefSeq, a predicted model, not a curated record